CACUACUGGUCCGGUAUUGUAUUAGGAUUGGGAGUUCAUUUUGCAGCAGUUUUUUGUGCUGAGUUGCUAAUUCUAUCUAGUUGCACUGAUAGUUAAGCUUGUUAUGGAUGAAAAGGUGAAGAGGUCAAAGGGGUAUGCUUUUAUUCAGUACACUAGUCAAGACGAUGCCCUGCUAGCUCUAGAAAGCAUGGAUCAUAAGGGACGGCUUAAAAAUGGGAAUAUUGCUGUUAUAAGGUUCUUUCACCUGAAUCAAGUCAAGGAGUAAAGGAGUUCUUGACAGAGAUUAGAGUGAUUUCAGAUAUAGAGCACCAAAAUUUAGUCAAGCUCUAUGGCUGUUGCGUGGAUGAAGAUCAUAGAAUUCUGUUCUACAACUACCUUGAGAAUAACAGCCUUGUGCAAACACUUAUUGGUUUUUUGCGGCUUUGGGAUCAAACAACACAGGAAUAUGAGAGAGGGCAAAAAAGCUAAUUGGGCUUUGUUUUAAAGUUGUCAUUGAUCAAUAGAGGCUGCUACCAGAUCCUCUUUUUGGCUGGUGGCUGAUGCUGCUGCUUGCUGGUCUACUGCAGCUGUUGGUCUGCUGCUGCUGCUGCCCUGGUGGCUAAUGCUUGCUGGGCCGCCGCUGCUGCUGCAAUGUUGCUGUGACGCGGCUGCUACUGGAUGCUGGUCUGCUGCAUAAGUUUGUGGGUGAUUUGUCGUGCCGUUUUGCCUAUCUUUGUUAGUUUCAUGUUUUCAUUUUGUUAUCUGAUGUUUCUACUGUGGGUUCACAAUUUGGAUGUAUUUGGGUAUUUUAGUGAGUUUACUCUUUCAAGUUUUAUAUUCUAAAAGCUGUCUCAGUAGUGUUUUUUUGCCUGCACAUCAACUUUAGAUGAUUUUCUAUCAAUGUUAUUAGUUUGUAAUAGUGGUGCUUGAGGGAUGCCUCUUGUA
Molecule: non-coding RNA, 924 nt
Organism: Camellia sinensis
Lineage: Eukaryota; Viridiplantae; Streptophyta; Magnoliopsida; Ericales; Theaceae
Source: RefSeq, a predicted model, not a curated record